GACGAACGCUGGCGGCGUGCUUAACACAUGCAAGUGGAGCGACGAACCAGGCUUCGGCCUGGGCAGAGCCGCGAACGGGUGAGUAACACGUGGGUAACCUGCCUCGAUGACCGGGACAACCCGGGGAAACCCGGGCUAAUACCGGAUGUGCUGCCUUCACAUCAGUGGAGACAGGAAAGGAAGCUUCGGCCUCCGCAUCGAGAUGGGCCCGCGGCCCAUUAGCUUGUUGGGAGGUAAUGGCUCACCAAGGCCGCGAUGGGUAGCUGGUCUGAGAGGACGAUCAGCCACACUGGGACUGAGACACGGCCCAGACUCCUACGGGAGGCAGCAGUGGGGAAUCUUGCGCAAUGCGCGAAAGCGUGACGCAGCAACGCCGCGU
This 379-nucleotide ribosomal RNA is filed under the name uncultured bacterium. Its description in RNAcentral is "bacterial SSU rRNA". It matches the Rfam family "Bacterial small subunit ribosomal RNA", at positions 28 to 402 of the family's 1533-position model. The record is from RNAcentral.